Molecule: unclassified non-coding RNA, 169 nt
Organism: Aotus nancymaae (Ma's night monkey)
Lineage: Eukaryota; Metazoa; Chordata; Mammalia; Primates; Aotidae
Source: Ensembl
GGAUGGUGUCCCUGGGAGGUGGAUAGAAUUCAGCACUGUAGAAUUGUCUCACCAUUUGAAUAGGUGCUGCUCAGCCCUUUGGAGUCUGUCUUCGGAAAGACCAUGGCUUUCUGACUUUUCAUCUUUUUGGGUGGCUGCUUGUUGCAGUAUUGUCUUUGUUUUAGACUAA